Molecule: ribosomal RNA, 258 nt
Filed under: uncultured bacterium
Lineage: Bacteria
Description: partial 16S ribosomal RNA
Rfam family: Bacterial small subunit ribosomal RNA
Source: RNAcentral
CUUGCUUUCUUUGCUGGCGACCGGCGCACGGGUGAGUAACACGUAUCCAACCCGCCCUUUACUCGGGGAUAGCCUUUCGAAAGAAAGAUUAAUACCCGAUAGUAUAAUGAUUCCGCAUGGUUUCAUUAUUAAAGGAUUCCGGUAAAGGAUGGGGAUGCGUUCCAUUAGGUUGUUGGUGAGGUAACGGCUCACCAAGCCUUCGAUGGAUAGGGGUUCUGAGAGGAAGGUCCCCCACAUUGGAACUGAGACACGGUCCAA